AUGAUCAUCACAAGCAGGGCCAGUGUCUGUAGUUACGGGACGACACUUACGGUCGUUUAUCAUCGCGAUCAUUACGUCGUUCUCUCGUAAAUAAUAACGGACGACGCGCGCGAUACAUCAACGCGUCGUCGUGUCUCAUCAGGCCGGGCAGCCGCGCGCUGACCCGCCCCCGAUGUGAUCCGCGAGCAUAGCGAUUCCGAGAGGGCGACCCCGAUGGAUCGUCACCUGUCCGCUGUCGUUGCCGACGACGACGAUUGGCAUCGCGAGGCGCACAACAACCUGGGCGCUCUACGUGACGGCGCUUAGCACGUCUCAGCACGGCGAGCUAUCAUGUGCCGGACGGCCGAGGUCGUAACGAUCUGAGGAACACCGAGCAACAGUCUUCAACGUCGUCCACGAUGGCGAGCCCCGGCAGUAACCCGGAGAAUGCCUCCAAGUUCUUGGAGGUUCUGCAGUCGGACCUCAAGGUACUCGCCUCGGAGACGAAGAAGAAGUAUCCGCAGAUCAAGGAGUCAUGCGAGGAAGGUGUCGCAAAGUUGAGAGCAGCGUCGAGUAAUCCAGGAACACCGAUAUAUUAUGUCAUCAAUCAGAUACUGUACCCUUUGGUUCAAGGUUGCGAGAGUAAGGAUAUAAAAAUUAUCAAGUUUUGUCUAGGCAUGAUGCAAAGGCUAAUAACACAACAGGCGGUAGAUCAGAAAGGCGCACGAUAUAUUACGGAUACCUUGUGGCUGUUAAUGGAAUCAGGUACUGAGGAAGUUAAAGUUUUGCAGACUGUAACUUUACUGCUGACAAGUAACACUGUGGUACAUGGAGACACCCUUGCGAGAAACUUGGUGCUGUGUUUCCGGUUGCACUUUACGAAAGACUGCACAACGAUAAACACAGCUGGUGCUACUGUAAGGCAACUAGUUUCCUUGGUGUUUGAGAGAGUAGUUGCCGAGGACGAGCAAAGUCCCGACCAGCAAGACUCCGACGAAGUUAAUCUGGAGGAACUGAAAAUCCCAACGAAUCAAGCGCCUAAAGGUCUCGGCCCUUGCGCUGCAGAUGCAUACUUAAUGUUUCAGGAUCUAGUUCAGUUGGUGAAUGCUGACCAACCAUACUGGCUGAUCGGCAUUACCGAGAUGACUAGGACCUUCGGAUUAGAGUUGCUAGAGUCUGUCUUAACAAACUUUUCAUCGGUCUUUUUCAAGCAUCCGGAAUUUAGUUUCUUACUGAAGGAGAGAGUGUGCGCGCUCGUGAUAAAACUCUUUUCGCCUAACAUCAAGUAUCGCAAUUCAGUGCCGGCGUCUUUGCAACAGGCCACGCCCCUGGAUAAACCUUACUUCCCUAUCAGUAUGAGGCUCUUGCGAGUUGUGUCGAUUUUGAUACAGAAAUAUCAUUCAUUGUUGGUGACCGAGUGCGAAAUAUUCUUAUCCUUGAUUGUGAAAUUCUUGGAUCCUGACAAACCUACUUGGCAGAGAGCUUUAGCGUUGGAGGUUUUGCACAAAAUGACGGUACAGGCGGACCUCCUGACGAACUUUUGCGAAUGCUACGAUUUGAAACCUCACGCUACAAACAUUUUUCAAGAUAUCGUCAAUAGUUUAGGCGCUUAUGUACAUAGCCUCUUCGUGAAUCCACAGAUGAUGAGUCAGACAGCUGCGAGCACAACCGUACCUCAAGGCACAGGUUCGCCAUUAUUCACAGCAAUGCCGAUCGGACCGGGCGUGUCGCCCCAGCCUGGUUUUUAUUCCCGUGGUAUUUGGUUACCAGUAGUAGCGACGUUUACAAGCGGACAAGCCAAACCGACUUACUUGGAGAUGCUGGACAAGGUCGAGCCGCCGCAAAUACCGAUCGGUUAUGGAAUCAGUAUAGCUUACGCGUGCCUAUUAGACAUCAUAAGAUCGAUCGCGCUGGCCAUAAAUGGAACGUCGAAGGAGGAUAGCAGCGAGGGUCAGACCUAUCAGCCGAGCGAAGCUGAACUGAAGCUCCACAUACAACUAAUCAAUUCAAGCUGGUGCGGAUUAUUGGCAGCUCUUAGUCCGUUAAUAGACGCCAGCACGGACGAGUCCGCGACGGAGAACGUUCUGAAGGCGAUUCAAACGUUCGCGUCUCUCUGCGGCCAAUUGGAAUUGCAAGCGCCGCGAGACGCUUUCAUCACCGCAAUAUGCAAAGCCUCGUUGCCGCCUCAUUACGCACUGACAGUGCUCUACAACGCACCUCAAGGUAUACCGAGCGCGAGACAGCAAGACUCUUCUCAGUAUAACCUGACCAUGGGCGAGCCCGAUUACAGGCAGCAAGUGGUCGCCGUUGGCACGCCGCUUCCGACGGCGUCUCUACCGAUCGGCGCCCAUCAAGGCCCCGUGAUGUUGACCGCGAAAAAUCUGCAAUGCAUGCGCGCGUUGUUAUCGUUGGCCCAUUGCCACGGCAGCAUACUCGGCAGUGCGUGGCAUUUGGUACUUACCACUCUUCAACAUCUCGUCUGGAUCCUCGGUCUCAAGCCCUCUACUGGAGGCUCGCUGAAGGCGGGGAGGACCGCGGCCGACCCGAAUGCCGUGUUGACGAACGCCGUUAUGGCGGAUCUACCGGUGCUCAGCGCCAUGCUCAGUAGAUUGUUUGAGAGCAGCCAGCAUCUGGACGACGUGGCUCUGCAUCACCUGAUAGACGCUCUCUGCAAACUGAGCCACGAGGCUAUGGAGUUGGCGUAUUCGAAUCGCGAACCUUCACUGUUUGCCGUUGCGAAGCUGCUGGAAACGGGUUUGGUGAAUUUACCGCGCGUUGAAGUGCUCUGGCGGCCGUUGACGAAUCAUUUGUUGGAAGUCUGUCAACAUCCACAUAUCCGCAUGAGAGAAUGGGGAGUGGAAGCGAUCACGUAUCUCGUUAAGAUGGCUCUUCAGCACAAGUAUCCGCAACCACUCCGCGAUAAUCAGAAGUUGCAAACGUUACUGUUAGGGCCACUUUCGGAGUUAUCGUCCGUGCGUCACGGAGACGUUAGACAACGGCAACUGGAAUGUGUCUUGCAAGUGCUCCAUGGCGCAGGGGAAACACUGUACCAUGGUUGGCCGUUGGUUCUCGGUAUUAUAGGAGCAGUUUCUGAUCAUCAUGGGGAAGCUUUAGUUCGCAUUGCUUUCCAAUGUCUGCAAUUGGUUGUAACGGACUUUUUACCGGUGAUGCCUUGGCGAUGUCUUCCGCUGUGCGUCGAUACAGCCGCUAAGUUCGGAUCACAGACGCAAGAAUUGAAUAUUUCACUUACAGCUGUCGGUCUAAUGUGGAACAUAAGCGACUACUUUUAUCAAAAUCAAGAGAAAUUGUGCGUUUGCCUGCGCGGAGAUUCAUCGUCGGUGUUUCCCGAUUUUCCCGGCACGACGAACAUGCCGCCAUUCGACAAACUGUGGAUGUGUCUGUACGCGAGAUUAGGGGAUCUGUGCGUCGAUUCGCGACCUGCUGUGCGCAAAUCAGCGAGUCAGACGCUAUUUUCUACCAUAUCCGCACACGGCAGCUUGUUACAUCAACCCACGUGGCAAGCGGUGCUCUGGCAAGUAUUAUUUCCGCUGUUGGACAAAGUAAGAAGUCUGUCUAACUCGGCCAGCAACGAGAAGGUCGACACUAGUGGGAACAUACUUAUUCACCAUAGCAGGAAUACAGCACAAAAGCAGUGGGCGGAGACACAGGUUUUAACGUUGAGCGGCGUAGCCAGAGUGUUCAAUACGAAACGUCAGCUGUUGCAAAUGUUGGGAGAUUUUCCUAGAGCAUGGUCGCUGCUGCUCGAAUUCAUAGAAAAUUCCGCGCUCAGCAAAAAUAAUGAGGUAUCGUUGGCGGCGUUGAAGUCGUUCCAAGAGAUUCUCUAUCUUCAGAAGGGAAGCGACAAUACCGAGGUAAUUCAGUCGAACGACUCGGAAGGUCUGUGGAUCGUGGCGUGGCGUGUGUGGCUCAACAUCGGAAUGGAAAGUACUACCCCGCCACAGGAGAGUGACACCGAGCCUUACGUGCCGUCGCAAGCGUUUCUCACCGCGCUGGUGCACAUAUUUCCGGCUGUUUUCCAGCACAUCAGAAACAAAUUCAUCGGGCCCGAUCUGCAAAAAUUAUGUAUCGUGCUGAAGAACGCGGUGGCCGUUCCGGUACACGGUGAGUCGACGCCUUACAUCGUGCCGUCGGUGCCGGAUGUAGUUCUCACUCACUUGCAAGAUGGAGUGCUGCACUCCAUGGAGCUUCUGCAAAAGGAAGCGUUAAACGGCCCCGACAACUUGCGGACGAUGAUCGUGCUGAUAUUCCUUCAGUUACUGAGCUUUUCGAAACUGGCGUGCGAGGCGCCCAUCUACGGUAAAAUACCAACGAAACACAUCUCCCAAAUUAGAGGCGUGUCUGCUACCGAUUGGGUCACGAUGAACUACGUACCGUUCGGUGAGAAAGCGCUAUCGAUGGUCGUGAGCUUGUAUCAGAAGACCGCGCACGAGAUGGCCGUGAUCGACGGCCAGGUUCUCAAGCACAUCGUGGAAGCGCUGCACGUGCCGUUAUCCAUGAAAUACGCGUGUCCGUCCGCGACCACAUGGAAACUGGCCGUGACCAGCCUGCUGGCUGUGCUGCACACCGGGCUGCCGCUCGCCAGGAAGUAUCCCGAGCAGUUCCAGAGCAUGUGGCUCGAGCUCGCAAGCACGUUGGACGAUUUCUUGUUCCCCAAGAGCGUGCUGAGCGUGGAGCGCGGGGUUGAGGAGAUCCAGGCCGACGAGGCAGUCGAUUGUCAGGUCAUGGAGUUAUUGAGGGACGAAGUAUUGCCGCAUUCUCAACAUAUACCUCAUCAGUUCAUACUGAGAGUCGUUAUGCUCUUGAACAAGGGCUCCAUACAUUCAGCCACCACGGCGAAUAUCGAAAAUGGCGCGGAAACGAAGUUGCGCGAAGAAUUCGCGAAAACCUGCUUCGAGACUCUCUUGCAGUUUUCCCUGUUGGAUGGAUUGAACAACGACACGGAGAACAGCCCGAAGAAGAAUCCGGAGAACGACGAGGGUGGAAUCGCCGGGCGCUUGGCGGUUACGGCGCUUCUCCACAGAUUCCAAGAAGUUCUUCGGCGUUAUAUCGAGAGCGAGAGGCGAAGCGGCAAAUGCCCGUUACCUAGGUACAGGUUGUCGGAGAUAUCGUUUGUUCUGAAAGCUGUCGCCACUCUCGUAGUGUCCCUCAAGAAAGCGCCACCUAACAAAGUCGAAAGAUCAGUGUGGGAGCAAUUGAUCGGGUUGUAUCCGUGCUUGGUGGAGUGCACAAUAGCGACGACUUCCGGACAAGUGUCCAGAUCGUUACGGGAAGCCCUGCUGCAAUAUCACGACUUAUUGCGGGCGCCGGUUCACAACACGCCGACCUCCAACGGCGUUUGACCAAUACAUUCUUUUCUUUUAACCGGUAGCACGAACGGUUGCGCUAAAUAAGCAGAGGUACAGGGUUUCUGGAUCAAGUACCGGCGACAAGGUAAUAUUGUCUCGUUAAUCCGUCGGAUAAAUGCACGAGGAUCCGGUGUGCAUGCCAGCUAUAUACGCACAGGAGUGACACUUAUAUAUCUUAAACAAUAUGCAAGUCUUUCAUUUUAAUUACAGAGAGAAUGCAACGUGUACUUAAUUGUUACCUCUCAUUUCACUUAAAAUAUCACCUAUGAUUAAUUUAUUGUCAUUAUGUAUUUGGCAAUUUUUACUAUCUAAUAAUAAAAUAUAGAUAAGCACACAUACACACUGAUGAGGUUUCAAGUGAGAGAAGGAACCCGAGCGGCUGCAUACUUUUUAUCUCUUAAACAUUGUUUUCCUUGAUCAAUUGCAUGAUAAUCCAUUUAUCUACGUCGCUCCGGCGAUGUCAUAUUUCCGUUUUUUUUUUUGUUUUUUUUUGAAAACGCGAUUGGUUUCAGCUGCAUUAUAGCGACUGGUUUCAGCUAUAUUAUAGCGUCACAGCAAUUUUCGCAAGAGAUGAAGAGACGCGGAGGGUGAUCGAGGUUCGAUAUCUUGAGUGGUCAGUCGAUGCUUGCGCCGUGCGUAAAAAGAGAAAAUAUACAAAGUACCCGGUAAACACCAACUAACAAUAAUGUAAUAUCAAUGUUAUAAUUUCCCGCUCAAUCAUGUAAAUGCAACGCGUGUGUUAUGUAAGAGUUACAUUGUUGAAUGGGAAAGUGCAACAUUGAUGUUACAUUGUUGUCGACCGACAGCGUUUACUGGGCAGAUGUACUUGGUAUUAUUUGAAAGUAAUCAUUCAGCUCGAAGGUACAGUUUGCAGCUCGCUCGAGCCUUAGUCUCGAGAUUAUCCGACCAGUCUCUAGUUUUGCAGUAUCAGGCACUGGGUCUCAACUAAGAACCUCAGCCUAAACGACGGUACUUUAAAAUAACGUUUAAUCUAACAAUCGAGCAACUGUAAGUAACAGCCCUUCUCGAAGAGUUGCGCAAGGCCACAGCGAACCGUGGAUGCCGAUCCCGAGGAGGGAAAUCGAGCUUGCGCAUCUAUCAAAUCAAUAAUUCGUAAUUCCCUACAGAAUUCGAGCGCGAAUCGAGGCGGCUUGACUCGUGUUUCGGUCAAGCGAGAUAGACGAAUCGGUUUGAUUGUUUCUCCUCCUUUUUUUGUUCUUUUUCCACUUCGAUAAAAUCUCAACGUAAUCCGAAUUUGGCUAACGCAGAAUAGUGCGCGAGUUAUGUCGCGAGAAAUAUAUAUAUACACAUAUAUCUCUCAGUAAAUAGAGUUUUAUUUCACAGGGUCGAGAAGAACAGAAUCCUCGAGAAAUGGAUUUUCUUAGCGAAAAUAUUAUCUCUAAUUGCGCGUACAUGUCUCAAGUAACUUUCGAUAUUAGAAAUUUCGGUAAUUGUAACAAAUUUAUCCAUAUAGCACACAAAUGUUCAAGAGACAUUCUAGAGACGUCUCGGAGAUCUUCGGAUAUCUCUAGGUUCUCUAGGACGUCUUUUGAACAUUUGUGUUAUAUGAAUACAUAAUUGCUGGGAAAAAAUUCUCACUUUAUAUUAUUCAAAUGAUCAGUCGGAUUUUAUCCGUUAAAAUUCUCUUAUUUUUUUACAUCAACGUAUUGUUCUACGUGUUUUUCUUCCAAAAGUAAUUUAACAACAGCAUGAAUUUCUCGUCACAAGAACGUGAUAUGAGUUGUAAAUUAAAUGAAAGAAACAUUAAAUCUAGUAUUCGUAGUUUUUUAUUCGAUGAAUAAUCAUAGCUUCGUAAAUCUCUGAUCGUUUCGCCGAUAUUCAUAAUCGAAUCUUACAUUUAAGACCGACUUAAGUUAAUCUUCAGAUUUUACAGGGUUCAUUUCAUUAGCUACGAAAUAUCGGAAGAUAAACUUGAGACAGUCUUAAAUAAAAAAUUCAACUACGAAUACCGCAUUUUGUCAAUCUAUUUGUAUUGCCUGCAAGAAGUAUUAAUCCAAACAGCUGAGUAACAAUUUGUGAAUACGAAUAUUUAAUUAUGUUCUCAAUUAAUGAUUAUAAAUAAUUCUAUAACUAUGAAUACUGAUCUAAAUUAGAAUAUUUGAAUAUUUUUCACACGGCUAUUGCAGAGAAUGUAGCCAUAAAUGUUGCUAACAAUUUAAUAUAAAUACGUACGUAACAUUUUAAUGACAUGGAUUAAAUACUACUUUGUCGACUAUUAUUUGUCAAAAUUCAUCGAAAACCUGAAUAGAAGGCGGAUCUCCAGGGGCCAAUUUGUAAGAUAUGUCUACGUUUUUGCCUCUGUGUGUGUGUGUGUGUGGGCGCGCGCGCGCGCGCGCGCGUGUGUAUGUGUGUGUGUGUGUGUGUGGUAAUUUUUCAAAUAUACAAGUAUAAAGUUUUUCCAGUCGGGGGGAGGGACCGUCGUUUAAUACCAAAUUAUUAUAUGUAUAAUAAUUAUAUAUUCAGGUUUUUUUCUCACGUAUUUAUAUCUUUUGUACGAGCUACAAAAGCGUGGAGAAUGAUUAAUUUCUUCAGCAUAAGUGUCACGGAGUAAGCCACACGAAUAGUCAUCCUACGCGAUCCCAAUUUUUUUUUUCUCUUUAAAUAGGAUUACAAGAAACUUUUACAUUUAUUGUCGUUUAAGGUGCGCUCUUUAAUCCUUAAGUGUUUGACCGUGGCGUUCGCCACUGCAGUAUUACGUACUGUGUUACUCGGGAGAGGCGAAAUUGCAAAUUCAACAAACAUAUUUUGCGAUAGGUUUCACAGAUAAAAUAUUCGAGGACGUGUUGCGACGAAUUCGCGUUGUCGAUAUCGCGUUUAUAAGACAGUAACAAGUGUUACACAUUCAUAUCGAUUUUCGUACUUACGCGCACUGCGAUUGAAACAUUUAAAACAUUUAAGGAUCAAGACGUAACAUCGCUCGCAUGUACAACUAGCGUUUAGUGAUUCUCGCGAAGAAGCAUUCGUCAGUGUAAUCUCAAUUUGUAAGACGUCAGAAAUGAUCUUCUUUCGCCUCCUUUUUUUUUUCUUCUUUUUUUCUCUCUUUUUUUUCCCCUUUUUUUUAUCACAAUAUAGUGUGCCGUGUAUUCAUAUUAAGAACACAGAAGUAUUGUACGCACAGACUCUUUCUUAAGAAUAAUUAUUGUCUUUCGUACAGUUCCAAUGUAUAUCUGCUGCACCAAUACAGUACACUUUGAUGGAUCAUCGAAGAAUAUACUAGAGUCUCUUAAAUUAAGUUAAUGUACAAUGUCAAAAUUUCCUUUAGAUAUAUAAGUCUUACUAGUUUAUUGUCCAAGUGUAUUGUUCGGAAAGGUCGUGGAGGAAGCGCCGAGACGCGCGACAUUCUGUUUGGCCAGGGGAAAGCAGCUGGGGAGAGAGGGGAGAGCAAUUCGCACGCGACUUAUCCCCGCGAAUAUAUCUCGCGAUGUGUGUUUAAAUCGCGCGUCGAAUCGAUCGAAAUGACAUUUCGCGUGAUCAAACCGCGUUUAUUAAAUCCACGAGCUUCGCGAUCUCAUUUUACACGUGGAUUAAUUACUCGGUAUUCCUCGAGUUUAAAUUUCGGACUCGAUAAUACUGACGGGAGCGACGCAGAAGCGAUAUUGAAAGCGUCGAGAAUUGCCAAUAAUGAAUAACAAUAAUAAGAUAAAAAAAGUGUAUUAAAUUACGUUUGGAUCCAUCUGGAGAAUGCAUGUAAUUUUAAUUAUUAUGCGCAGUUUGCCGCCGGUAAUAUCAAACGGCCGAGAAACUUCCAGGCGGAUACUAACGUUCUGCUAACGUGGAAGCUCGUGAUAUGUGUGUGUGUGUGUGUGUGUGUAUGUGGUAAUUUUUCAAAUAUACAAAUAUAAAGUUUUACGACGUACCUAGUCAGCGUACGAAUGCGCGCUGAAUCGCCUCUGAGCUUCGAGAUUAUUCGCGGAACGUUUUACCUGGCGAUUCUCCGGUGGCUACGACACACCGUUGAAAUCUAAUUGAUUAUUUCCACAAGAGGCUGCAGCAGCUCUUUCAACGGGAAGAAAAUGGGAGGACAUUUUUUUCGAUCGAAAUGAAAUCCGAUGUACGUUUCACUUAUCCGUGAAGUUAAAUUCAUUCGAACGA
This is an RNA transcript of Dinoponera quadriceps, 9458 nucleotides long. It is a transcript of the gene named protein MON2 homolog, with no coding region annotated. The transcript has 26 exons. Lineage: Eukaryota; Metazoa; Arthropoda; Insecta; Hymenoptera; Formicidae. The record is from RefSeq and is a predicted model, not a curated record.